CCCUUAGAUGUCCUGGGCUGCACGCGCGCUACACUGAUGUGUCCAGUAAGCACCUAACCUCUUCCGAAAGGAACGGGUAACCUUUGCAAAGCACAUCGUGAUGGGGAUAGAUUAUUGCAAUUAUUAGUCUUGAACGAGGAAUUCCUAGUAAGCACAAGUCAUCAUCUUGUGUUGAUUACGUCCCUGCCCUUUGUACACACCGCCCGUCGCUCCUACCGAUUGAAUGUUCCGGUGAGCUCUUCGGACUGCGCGGUCUGCAGUUUCUGCGUUCCGUGCGGAAAGUUGCGCAAACCUUAACAUUUAGAGGAAGGAGAAGUCGUAACA
RNAcentral lists this ribosomal RNA (324 nucleotides) under uncultured eukaryote. Its description in RNAcentral is "partial 18S ribosomal RNA". It matches the Rfam family "Eukaryotic small subunit ribosomal RNA", at positions 1470 to 1796 of the family's 1831-position model. The record is from RNAcentral.